GACGAACGCUGGCGGCGUGCUUAACACAUGCAAGUCGAACGGUGAUGCUCCAGCUUGCUGGAGUGGAUCAGUGGCGAACGGGUGAGUAACACGUGAGCAACCUGCCCCAGACUCUGGAAUAAGCGCUGGAAACGGCGUCUAAUACUGGAUACGAAACUGGCCCGCAUGGGCAUGGUUUGGAAAGUUUUUCGGUUUGGGAUGGGCUCGCGGCCUAUCAGCUUGUUGGUGAGGUAAUGGCUCACCAAGGCGACGACGGGUAGCCGGCCUGAGAGGGCGACCGGCCACACUGGGACUGAGACACGGCCCAGACUCCUACGGGAGGCAGCAGUGGGGAAUAUUGCACAAUGGGCGAAAGCCUGAUGCAGCGACGCCGCGUGCGGGAUGACGGCCUUCGGGUUGUAAACCGCUUUCGCCUGUGACGAAGCGUGAGUGACGGUAAUGGGUAAAGAAGCACCGGCUAACUACGUG
RNAcentral lists this ribosomal RNA (468 nucleotides) under uncultured bacterium. Its description in RNAcentral is "partial 16S ribosomal RNA". It matches the Rfam family "Bacterial small subunit ribosomal RNA", at positions 28 to 507 of the family's 1533-position model. The record is from RNAcentral.